Cebus imitator (Panamanian white-faced capuchin) is the source of this 2368-nucleotide long non-coding RNA. RefSeq lists it as uncharacterized. NCBI's taxonomy places the organism in Eukaryota, Metazoa, Chordata, Mammalia, Primates, Cebidae. The transcript has 3 exons. The record is from RefSeq and is a predicted model, not a curated record.
CUCAUACUGCAUGCCAGACCACAUACUGGAGGGCUGUGGAUACAAAGAUGAAUGAAAGAAGCAUUGCCAUGGAGUCACUAAUGAUGCAAACCACCGAUACUGUGAGGUAGCAUGCAUGGACAGCACUCUCUGUGGGACUGAUGACUGUUAGCAGGAAGGACGGAGGAUGCAGGGGAGGCCUCACGGAAGAGGUUAUAUCAGUCAGGGUCUUCCUGGCAGAACACAGAACACACUGGAAAGGAAUGUCAAGCAGAGCCUAAAGAAGGGACCAGGAUGUGAUUGGAUCUUUAUCUUAAACAUAUAACUGACUCCACCAUGGAAGGGAAUGAAAGGGGAAGAAACUGGAGAUCAGGGACCCAAAGGCAGCAUCAUUGCAGUAAGUGCAGUUGAGACAGGAGGACUUGAACCAUGAGGGAAGUGAGGUUGGUGGAAAAGGGCCUGAGGGGAGAAGUCACUGCAGCCUGAAAAUAGCAAAACCAGGACCACAGAAGGGAAGGUGUCUGCACUGUCGUCCCAGCAGCAGCAUCGCACAGCAGUCUGGCGUCAGAGCAGACAUUUCAGUUCCUCUAUUAAACAGCUGAGACAAUAAUCUUGGCAUUGCGCCCCUUACGGGGUUCUAGGGUCAGUUUCAAAUAACACAAGUACUUUGUAAAAGUAGAGAGUAAGACAAAGGAAACGUGGAAUUGUGGUCAUUGUCAUGGUUAGUGGGGCCUUGCUGAUGAGAAUGGUUUUGUGACACCAUGAAGUUGUAAUAAAAAAAUGAAUCAACUCACCCUUUGCAUGUACAGAGAACAGUAGUGCUCUCCUUCGGGCUUGGGAGGCGGGUGAUUCACCCCAAACUCAUUCCUUCCCGGGACCUCUGCUUUGUCACCUGGAUUUUCUGAGCUCAGCUAGCUGAAGCACGUUUAUCGUCUCAGGAGUUUGAUCACCUGGCUAGUCAGUUACCUUUAUUCAUGAAAACAAGUCAAAAAUAUCUAUUGAAUAGUGAUUCUUUUCUGCUUAUUUGUGGACUGUUGGACGGAAGAAAAAAUGGUUGCGAUAUGGCAUUUGACCAGCAGGUGGCACCCAAGGACCGUGUUUGAGGUUUGGCUCCACCUUCCAGCCUUUGCUGGAAACUCAUUCCUUUCCCUCCAAAAAAACAAAAACCCUAAUCAGGAGAAUCAGAGAAGACGCUGCAGGCUUUGAAACAGUUUUCUAUGGAGUAUAAGUCUGUGGUGACAGAAUAAGGGCAGAGGGCCUAAAACUACACUCAUUGUGAUGGAUGGAAAUGAGACAGGAAAAAGAACACUCCAGGGUUGACAUGUGCUUGCCAACGGAAUGGAGACCUCCAUCUUUAGAGGACUUUCCAAAUGAUACCCUGUUUUAGCAGUCUGGAGACAGGCAAUGGGAAAGCCAGCCUCUCCAGAAACCUGUCACUGCUUCCAACACGGGAGGCAUAUUUUUGAGCACAUGAAGAUUGGUUUAUUCUUGUGACUUUAGGGACUGUCUCUAAGCUCUAAAAGUUCUUGCAGCUCAUGCUACGUAGUUUAGGAGUUUUAGAAAAAAUGAGAGAAAGUGUGGGCAGAAAAAAAAGUCUGAAUUUGUGCACUACAUUCCUUUCAUUUAAUAAUUCUAGUUGAAUUUGAAUGAGCACAUAAUACAUGCACAAAGAAUUUUACAGGAACAAUCUGAUUUAAUCAUCACAGCAACCCAAUGAAAUGGAGACAAUCCACAUUGCACAAGUGAUUAACUUGCCCCAAUCCCACAGCAAGUAGAAAAUUCUUACUCUCCAGAUAGUCUUCGUGGACACCUUUGAAGAAACAAUGUGCCCGCAGUAGCCUGACCCUUUAACACGAACUCAGCCAUCCUCUUUCACUCCCACGCUCCUUCCCCCGGAGCGAGGCGAGCCUUAUCUGCCCCUUCUCCCACCAGCUGUCACAGAGCGCCAGCUUAUCCUUCCUGACCUCCAUGGCUUUAUCUCGUUUAAGAAGCUAGAUUUGGCAGUCCUAGAAAUCAAAACAUUUCUCUGUCCAGAUUCUGUAGACCAAGAUACAAUUAUCUCUGACCCAUUAAGUGCAUUAAGUGGUUUUUAUUAUUAUAGAAAUAAUUGCAUGCCCAUGAUCUUAAAAAAUAGUUACGUCACAGAAAGGCAUGAAAUGAGAAAAUUCUCCCUCCUCUGCCCUCCAGAGAUAACCACAAUGACUAGUUUCUGGCUUUUGCUUUUCUCAUGUUUGCCAUCAUAGUAUAAAAUAAAAUGUUUAUGCUUCUAUUACUGAUUUAUCUAAUUUCAACAGAAAGCAUUGUCUAGUAAAUGUCACAGAUGGAGGAUUUAUUGAAUUCUGCAACUUCAUACCCUGUCACAUCUGUAUCUUAAUUUUUAUUAGUAAAU